AAUGAUUGAGCCAAAAAUAAAGACAAAUGAUGUGGGCCUUCUAAUUAGGGAAAGAUUGGUACCCUAGCAUCAUUGAAAAGAAGGCAACCGUCAUUUUAGAGGGAAUCCUAGAGCUGCCAUUGGAGAAAGAGGAAAGAGAGAAAUGAAGAAAAAGAAGAAGAAAUUCCAAGCUUGAAGAGGAGAAUCCAAGGAAGAAAAGGAAGAGGAGGAAGACAACGUUAUUGAUUCAUCAUCUCUGGCUUGUUUUCUCCUCUUUAAUCUCAUUUAAAUGGUGCAAGAAAAUAAGCUUGGAUGGCAGGAUGGAUUCAUGGCGGCUUUGGCAUGUGUAUUGGGCAAGAACUAAAUGAAUGGACUAAUGGGAAAGAUCGAGGAUGACGUUUAUAUAUUUUUUUAAUUAUGUAUUAUAAGUUUUUUCAUUUAGUAUUUGAACAAUUAAUUAAAGGUUUUGUUUUCCUUAUGAAAUAACAAUGGGAUCUCGUAUUUUGGAUUUUUAUAAUAAGAUGCUAUUAUUUUA
Molecule: long non-coding RNA, 514 nt
Organism: Humulus lupulus (European hop)
Lineage: Eukaryota; Viridiplantae; Streptophyta; Magnoliopsida; Rosales; Cannabaceae
Exons: 2
Source: RefSeq, a predicted model, not a curated record